GCUGGUGUGGCUCAGUGGAUAGAGCAUUGGCCUGCAGACCAAAGGGUCCCGGGUUCGAUUCCGGUCGAGGGCA
Molecule: transfer RNA, 73 nt
Filed under: Myotis lucifugus (little brown bat)
Lineage: Eukaryota; Metazoa; Chordata; Mammalia; Chiroptera; Vespertilionidae
Rfam family: tRNA
About the family: Transfer RNA (tRNA) molecules are approximately 80 nucleotides in length. Their secondary structure includes four short double-helical elements and three loops (D, anti-codon, and T loops).
Source: Rfam by way of RNAcentral